UGCUCCCAUGGGGUAGUGGUAACCCUCCUGGUUCUCAGCCAGGCGUCCCGAGUUCGAUCCUCGGUGGGAGUGC
Molecule: transfer RNA, 73 nt
Filed under: Mycobacterium phage LolaVinca
Lineage: Duplodnaviria; Heunggongvirae; Uroviricota; Caudoviricetes
Description: tRNA-Glu
Rfam family: tRNA
About the family: Transfer RNA (tRNA) molecules are approximately 80 nucleotides in length. Their secondary structure includes four short double-helical elements and three loops (D, anti-codon, and T loops).
Source: RNAcentral